Molecule: long non-coding RNA, 412 nt
Filed under: Anser brachyrhynchus (Pink-footed goose)
Lineage: Eukaryota; Metazoa; Chordata; Aves; Anseriformes; Anatidae
Description: lncRNA (ENSABRG00000020641.1)
Source: RNAcentral
CAGAAGUUCAAUAUUUCACAGUUUACAUAUAACUAAAGUUACAAAUGUUCUAAUUUGAACUUUUUUUUUAAAAAAAAACCUUUAUAUUUUUGAGAUUUUGGGGCUAAUUAUGUCUUUGUCUUACUUGUAACAGCCAAAACCACUGAGCAGUUCAUCAGAAUCCAUCGUGUGAAUACACACAGGAUGGGGCUACCAGAGACAUGGAAAAGAGCCUGCUGAUCCAAGCGUGCAAUUGUGGACAUCACAUACUUCAGGCUGAUUAUGGUUUCAGUAGAAACUCCACUUAUGAAAACACAGAGUGCAGAAUGGCUUUGAAAAUGUAGGAAAUUGCAGGAUAGAUUUGGUCAAGCUGACUGCAAUUCUGUCAAGAGGAGGGAGCACAAAGAACAUAAACAAAGUAAAUGUAAGAAGA